RNAcentral lists this ribosomal RNA (465 nucleotides) under uncultured bacterium. RNAcentral's name for it is "partial 16S ribosomal RNA". It matches the Rfam family "Bacterial small subunit ribosomal RNA", at positions 338 to 795 of the family's 1533-position model. The record is from RNAcentral.
CCUACGGGAGACAGCAGUAGGGAAUCUUCCACAAUGGACGAAAGUCUGAUGGAGCAACUCCGCGUGAGUGAAGAAGGGUUUCGGCUCGUAAAGCUCUGUUGUUAGUGAAGAAAGAUAGAGGUAGUAACUAGCCUUUAUUUGACGGUAAUUUAUUAAAAAGUAACGGCUAACUACGUGCCAGCAGCCGCGGUAAUACGUAGGUGGCAAGCGUUGUCCGGAUUUAUUGGGCGUAAAGCGAGUGCAGGCGGCUCAAUAAGUCUGAUGUGAAAGCCUUGGGCUCAACCGGAGAAUUGCAUCAGAAACGGUUGAACUUGAGUGCAUAAGAGGAGAGUGGAACUCCAUGUGUAGCGGUGGAAUGCGUAGAUAUAUGGAAGAACACCAGUGGCGAAGGCGGCUCUCUGGUCUGCAACUGACGCUGAGGCUCGAAAGCAUGGGUAGCGAACAGGAUUAGAUACCCGGGUAGUC